CAGCAGCCACGGGAAUACGGAGGGUGCAAGCGUUAAUCGGAAUUACUGGGCGUAAAGCGCACGCAGGCGGUCUGUCAAGUCGGAUGUGAAAUCCCCGGGCUCAACCUGGGAACUGCAUUCGAAACUGGCAGGCUAGAGUCUUGUAGAGGGGGGUAGAAUUCCAGGUGUAGCGGUGAAAUGCGUAGAGAUCUGGAGGAAUACCGGUGGCGAAGGCGGCCCCCUGGACAAAGACUGACGCUCAGGUGCGAAAGCGUGGGGAGCAAACAGGAUUAGAUACCCCUGUAGUCCCUGUCUCUUAUAC
RNAcentral lists this ribosomal RNA (301 nucleotides) under uncultured bacterium. RNAcentral describes it as "partial 16S ribosomal RNA". It matches the Rfam family "Bacterial small subunit ribosomal RNA", at positions 509 to 807 of the family's 1533-position model. The record is from RNAcentral.